Molecule: ribosomal RNA, 427 nt
Filed under: uncultured Legionella sp.
Lineage: Bacteria; Pseudomonadati; Pseudomonadota; Gammaproteobacteria; Legionellales; Legionellaceae
Description: partial 16S ribosomal RNA
Rfam family: Bacterial small subunit ribosomal RNA
Source: RNAcentral
UGGGGAAUAUUGGACAAUGGGGGGAACCCUGAUCCAGCGAUGCCGCGUGUGUGAAGAAGGCCUGAGGGUUGUAAAGCACUUUCGGUGGGGAGGAGAGAUGGCAUGUUAAGAGCUAGCUAUUGAGACGUUACCCACAGAAGAAGCACCGGCUAACUCCGUGCCAGCAGCCGCGGUAAUACGGGGGGUGCGAGCGUUAAUCGGAAUUAUUGGGCGUAAAGGGUGCGUAGGUUGUUGGAUAAGUUAUCUGUAAAAGUCCUGGGCUUAACCUGGGGAUGAGAGAUAAGACUGUUCGACUAGAGUAUGGGAGAGGGUAGUGGAAUUUCCGGUGUAGCGGUGAAAUGCGUAGAGAUCGGAAGGAACACCGGUGGCGAAGGCGGCUACCUGGCCUAAUACUGACACUGAGGCACGAAAGCGUGGGGAGCAAACA